RNAcentral lists this long non-coding RNA (3768 nucleotides) under Homo sapiens (human). RNAcentral describes it as "HSALNT0070217". The record is from RNAcentral. Lineage: Eukaryota; Metazoa; Chordata; Mammalia; Primates; Hominidae.
CCCACGUGAAUUUGCCCCCGCCCUGAGUCAGAACCCUAGAGGGGUGAAAUCCCUGAAUUCUGCAGAGGAAACCCAUACUUCUUUGCUUUUUCAGCAAUUCCAGGAGAUGUCGUUUUUCAAGUGGCAAAUGUGUGGCUCUAGAGGACAGAGUAACCACCUUGCAGCCAAGAAGCCCUGAUGUCAACUCCCAGCUCUGCUGCAGCACCCAGAAAUCACCGGACCUUUCUGCAUCUUUCUGGGUGACUCUGUCAUGAGGAUUUCAUAAUGUAAUUCCCUAGCACAUAAGAAUUUCUCAACCAAUAUGGCUUUCUUUUUUCCUUCUCACUAGUCUUUGAGCUUCUUAAAGGGAAGACAUGUCCUAUUCAUCUCUACACCCCCCACACCAGUCUGCAUUCAGUAAGUGCUCAAUCAAUGUCUGCUGAAUCACAUCUUCCCACUCAACUGCAUGGCCUCGGAUGAUCCAAUUCUGUGGGACUCAGGGUCUCCCUGAUUCUGAAGAUCUCCAUUUCAGCCACCCCAUCCUGGUGCUUUUUCUGGAGAGACUGGGAAAAAGGAGACAGAAGAAUCCACUCUAGCUGAGACUCCAGAUUGCCUGGGCUGUAAUUUACGGUGCUAUCACAAAGGGGUCCUUUUUCCGCAUGGUGCUCUGCGGUGAUGAGCCAGAAGCUGAAGCUGAGGGGUCUUAUUGGCUGUGCAAACUUGAGGGAGUUGCCUAACCACUCUGGGCCCUGUUUUCCUGGCUUUGCCACUCUUCAGCUGUGUGACCCGGGGAAGCUCUCAACCUCUUUGUGCCUCCAUUUCCACAUCUGUAAAAUGGGGAUAUGAAAGUGGCUGCUUUGUGAAGAGUCCUGAGAAUAAAUGAGUUAAGGAAAACUGAUAUGGAUAAAUAUGGAAGAGAGCUGGCCAGUGGAUGAAAUGGUGAUGUAAAGGUGAGCUUUGCGGAAGAGUGGAGAAAAGAGAUUGGCACUGAAGUGGGCAGUGAAAGAGCAAGAGGCUUGUGGGAGACUUGAUUUCAGAGGCAGCGUUUGGAUGGUUAUGAACAGGCUUUCCUCUUCUUUCAGGGGUACCGUAAAGAUCAGAAUUAAUAGUAUGACUAUUUGGUUUGGAGGCUGUUUCAUUAAGUAUUACACUGUGGAGAGACUGGAUCACAUGGGUCAUAUUAUUUAUUCAGGUUACAUUCACACUCCCUGUGAAUUCCCACCCUAUGCAAACUGGCAAGAAAACGCUAUUUUAAAAGAUUCUUGAACGCUUUUGUAUCUUUCUUAAGACUUUUGUAUACAGCACUGUUCACAUAGUAGGUAGUCAAAAUUAGUGAGAAAGACUCAAGCAAAAAGUUUAUUUGGAUUUCCAUAUGAUUUAUAAGCCAAGACGCUAUAAUCCAAAGAGGCAGGAAAAUGAUGUAAACUAGAAAUAAAAAUAUUUGUAAGUGACAAUGUGUCCUGAAUUCUUUGACAGGUUAAGAGAAAUAAAAGCAGGAGACGAGGAGAGAGUCACACCACGGCUCUGCAGCCCACACCACCUUGGAACCAAACAGGGAGGUGGCAGAACUGAUGGGCUGGCCGCACCACCUUAAAUCUCUUAGCUCCAAAACUGGAGGUGCUCAUCAGGACCCUGCAUCAUUUCUGUGGGUGAUGGAUGGUGUGAGGUAAGGCACAGAGAUCUAGACUUAUUUCUCCUUCCACAACAAUUGUUUCUUGGAAGAGGAAGAAAACUUAGCUGGAUUUUAUCUCUUUGUGUGGAUUUCUGGGGUAGACACCCAGAGGUGUGUGCAGGAGCAUGCUCUUUGGGGCCCACAUAGAGAUUCCAGCAGGUGCUGGAGAUUCUGGGGUAGCCUUUCCAUGACUGCUGGCCUCUUUUCCCCUGUGUUGCUUUGGUUUGCUGUCUGGCUAAAGGCAGGAGUGGGAGAAACUCACAUUCCACAAGAGGCUGCCUGGAGCAGAGGCCAAGAGGGUAAGGUUUGUCCAAGGCCUUCCAUCUCAGCUUUGCUGCCAAUUUGUCAGAAAAAAAAUCAUUUGUGCCAAUUAGACCCUGGUUAGGAAAGUGUUGUCCUGUCUGGGAAGCAGGUACAGAAACCAGUUGCAAGGACAGGAGAUCAAUGAAAGUGACACAUUACUUAUGCCUCCAAUUCUUCUCAGCCCUCAAUUUAGUCUCUGAGACACAGAGAAAAUAAGUGUACUUGCCUUGCUAAUGGGUACAUGGUUGGCUUUGGGCAAUUUAUAUAGAGCACUUUAGUUCCAAGAUGAAAUGCACUGAGAUAUUAGGAUUAGUCUCUGCUUUAAUGAGUUUCUGACUUGCAGGUUUGAAAAAAUUUAGUUCUUUUCUGUAUUUCUCUACAAACACAAAACAAUGAUUUAAUGGUAAAACAACAAUGAAAAGAAACUAGGCCAUUCUCUCCAAAAUGAUUAAAAGGGUACUUCUCCUGACCUGACAUAACCUUUCCUCAUAUGAAUUUAUUAUCUGUAUUCACACUCAUAUUCCACUGGAAUGCCUUGGGUCCAGGUGGAUGGUUGCUUAUGGUUAGUAUCGAUUCUGAGCAGGUAGGCAUUCAUACUGUUUGGUUGACGCCUGUGGUGAACAGACCUUAAGGUGACUUCUUGCACCCCUGAGUCAUUUUCUUGUAUAAUCUCCUCUCUUUGAGGACACAAACUGUGCCCUGCUUCAAACCAGUGGAAUAGAGACAAGGUGAUGAGAUCUUUGGUUAUUGCACCUAACUGCUUCAUUCAUUGCACAAUUAGUCACACGCUGUUUUGUGAUGCAGAACAUUUUUUUUUAAGAGAUGGUAGUCUCACUCUGACACCCAGGUUGGAGUGCAGUGACAUGAUCAGAGCUCACUGCAGCCUCAAACUCCUGGGCUCAAGGGAUCCUCCUGCCUCAGCCUCCUGAGUAGCUGGGACUAGAGGUGCGUGCCACCACACCCAGCUAUUUUUUAUUUUUUGUAGAAAUGGAGUCUCACUUUGUGGCCCAAGCUGGUCUCCAACUCCUGGGCUCAAGUGAUCCUCCCACCUUGGCUUAUCAAAUUGCUGGGAUCACAGGUUUGAGCCACCGUGCUUGGACUGUGAUGCAAAAUUUUAUCUAAACCUUGUAUUGUUGACUAUAGCAUCAUGCACUUACUAUUUUCCCUCUUAACUAGAUUUUAAGUCUCUUGAGGGCAAGAACUCUGUUCUUGAAGAUUUUCAGAAGCCCGAUAGCAUAUGGAAGUACUUGACACACAAUAAGUACACAGUCAUAUGUGAUUUGGUUUCUGAGCCUUCAUUUGUCCAACAAAACCAGAUGGGUCUUAGAUGAAGAUAUACGUGGCAAACACUGCAUGCCUACUGUGGGUCAGGUUAGCUCCCAGACAUGCAGAAAACAAAAGCUCUGUCCUCAGGAGUUCAUGAUGGUUCAACCCAAUCAACGAAGUCUUGCAAUCUCACUUCCUCCUUACCUUGUAGAGUUGGAAGAUAUCCAAAUAUUCCUAGAGUUCUUUGUCAAUCUGUCAGGAUUAUAAUUCCACAGAUCAGGCAGAGUGUAACCAUGAAGCUCUUCAGUGAAUUUUUAGUGACUUUUGGGUGAUUUUUUAGUUUCCAAGUAGAAGAAGCAAAAGACCCUUGUGGUGGUUACCUUCCAUCUAAACAGAGAGUGAGCUACAAAGAUACUGCUGUCCCUCAGUGGCCCAUGGGUGUCCCUGCAAAUCUGUGACUCAAGUGGCCAUAUUCAUAUUAAGCAGACCAGAGAUCAAAACCAUAUUAGGCAUGAACCACUUUUUAUUCAUAGGCUUACCGAAUAUAU